GCAGAAGGCGAGGCAAUCGCUGGUUGGCGGUGGUGCUUUGGCAUCAGUUGUCGACUGGAGGAAAGUCCGGGCUCCGCAGGACAGGAUGGUCGAUAACGUCGACCGGCCGCGAGGUUAGGGAAAGUGCAGCAGAAAGCAAACCGCCGAACGAUUCACUUCGGUGGAUGCGUGGCAAGGGUGAAACGGUGUGGUAAGAGCACACCAGCGGCUAAGGUGACUUAGUCGGCUUGGUAAACCCCAUCCGGAGCUAGACCAAACAGGGUGCAGAAGUUGUCCGCUUCGCAAUGACACUCGGGUAGGUCGCGAUUGAGGCGACGAGCAAUCGUCGUGCACAGAUAAAUGGUUGCCAUCGAAGUGCUUGUCAUUUCGAGACAGAACCCGGCUUACAAGCCUUCUGCUGUU
RNAcentral lists this RNase P RNA (402 nucleotides) under Stieleria bergensis. Its description in RNAcentral is "Planctomycetes bacterium SV_7m_r Bacterial RNase P class A". It matches the Rfam family "Bacterial RNase P class A". From Rfam's summary of the family: Ribonuclease P (RNase P) is a ubiquitous endoribonuclease, found in archaea, bacteria and eukarya as well as chloroplasts and mitochondria. Its best characterised activity is the generation of mature 5'-ends of tRNAs by cleaving the 5'-leader elements of precursor-tRNAs. Lineage: Bacteria; Pseudomonadati; Planctomycetota; Planctomycetia; Pirellulales; Pirellulaceae. The record is from Rfam by way of RNAcentral.